This 445-nucleotide ribosomal RNA is filed under the name uncultured bacterium. Its description in RNAcentral is "SSU rRNA". It matches the Rfam family "Bacterial small subunit ribosomal RNA", at positions 26 to 518 of the family's 1533-position model. The record is from RNAcentral.
AGAGCGAACGCUGGCGGCAGGCCUAACACAUGCAAGUCGAACGAUCCUUCGGGAUAGUGGCGGACGGGUGAGUAACACGUGGGAACGUACCUUUAGGUUCGGAAUAACUCAGGGAAACUUGAGCUAAUACCGAAUGUGCCCUUCGGGGGAAAGAUUUAUCGCCUUUAGAGCGGCCCGCGUUAGAUUAGCUAGUUGGUGAGGUAAAGGCUCACCAAGGCUACGAUCUAUAGCUGGUCUGAGAGGAUGAUCAGCCACAUUGGGACUGAGACACGGCCCAAACUCCUACGGGAGGCAGCAGUGGGGAAUCUUGCGCAAUGGGCGAAAGCCUGACGCAGCCAUGCCGCGUGAAUGAUGAAGGUCUUAGGAUUGUAAAAUUCUUUUAGCAGGGACGAUAAUGACGGUACCUGCAGAAAACGCCCCGGACUAACUUCGCGCCAGCAGCCGC